GGGUUGUGAGGUUAAGCGACUAAGCGUACACGGUGGAUGCCCUGGCAGUCAGAGGCGAUGAAGGACGUGCUAAUCUGCGAUAAGCGUCGGUAAGGUGAUAUGAACCGUUAUAACCGGCGAUUUCCGAAUGGGGAAACCCAGUGUGUUUCGACACACUAUCAUUAACUGAAUCCAUAGGUUAAUGAGGCGAACCGGGGGAACUGAAACAUCUAAGUACCCCGAGGAAAAGAAAUCAACCGAGAUUCCCCCAGUAGCGGCGAGCGAACGGGGAGGAGCCCAGAGCCUGAAUCAGUGUGUGUGUUAGUGGAAGCGUCUGGAAAGGCGCGCGAUACAGGGUGACAGCCCCGUACACAAAAAUGCACAUGCUGUGAGCUCGAUGAGUAGGGCGGGACACGUGGUAUCCUGUCUGAAUAUGGGGGGACCAUCCUCCAAGGCUAAAUACUCCUGACUGACCGAUAGUGAACCAGUACCGUGAGGGAAAGGCGAAAAGAACCCCGGCGAGGGGAGUGAAAAAGAACCUGAAACCGUGUACGUACAAGCAGUGGGAGCAUGCUUAGGCGUGUGACUGCGUACCUUUUGUAUAAUGGGUCAGCGACUUAUAUUCUGUAGCAAGGUUAACCGAAUAGGGGAGCCGAAGGGAAACCGAGUCUUAACUGGGCGUUAAGUUGCAGGGUAUAGACCCGAAACCCGGUGAUCUAGCCAUGGGCAGGUUGAAGGUUGGGUAACACUAACUGGAGGACCGAACCGACUAAUGUUGAAAAAUUAGCGGAUGACUUGUGGCUGGGGGUGAAAGGCCAAUCAAACCGGGAGAUAGCUGGUUCUCCCCGAAAGCUAUUUAGGUAGCGCCUCGUGAACUCAUCUCCGGGGGUAGAGCACUGUUUCGGCAAGGGGGUCAUCCCGACUUACCAACCCGAUGCAAACUGCGAAUACCGGAGAAUGUUAUCACGGGAGACACACGGCGGGUGCUAACGUCCGUCGUGAAGAGGGAAACAACCCAGACCGCCAGCUAAGGUCCCAAAGUCAUGGUUAAGUGGGAAACGAUGUGGGAAGGCCCAGACAGCCAGGAUGUUGGCUUAGAAGCAGCCAUCAUUUAAAGAAAGCGUAAUAGCUCACUGGUCGAGUCGGCCUGCGCGGAAGAUGUAACGGGGCUAAACCAUGCACCGAAGCUGCGGCAGCGACGCUGAUG
This 1186-nucleotide ribosomal RNA is filed under the name Escherichia coli. RNAcentral's name for it is "bacterial LSU rRNA". It matches the Rfam family "Bacterial large subunit ribosomal RNA", at positions 1 to 1220 of the family's 2925-position model. Lineage: Bacteria; Pseudomonadati; Pseudomonadota; Gammaproteobacteria; Enterobacterales; Enterobacteriaceae. The record is from RNAcentral.